UGCCCAAUACUAAUAGUUUUUUUUAAUGUAAUACUUUAUGCACUGCAUGUAGUACAAUAAAAUUGAUAUAGAAUGCACCGUGCCAUCUCAUUGGAUCACGUAGCUCCCACUUUUCAAUGCCCAUUAAAUAUCUGCAGUUUUAUUUUUUGAUUUGAAAUUUUGAAUGACAAAAAUGAAUCUCUGUUCUGAAAAAAUUAUGACA
This 202-nucleotide long non-coding RNA is filed under the name Elaeis guineensis (African oil palm). RNAcentral describes it as "long non-coding RNA (EGUI_LNC069556)". Lineage: Eukaryota; Viridiplantae; Streptophyta; Magnoliopsida; Arecales; Arecaceae. The record is from RNAcentral.